UCCCUGGUGGCUUAGACGGUAAAGCAUCUGCCUACAAUGUGGGAGACCUGGGUUCAAUCCCUGGUUCGGGAA
Molecule: transfer RNA, 72 nt
Filed under: Bos taurus (domestic cattle)
Lineage: Eukaryota; Metazoa; Chordata; Mammalia; Artiodactyla; Bovidae
Also listed under: 3 other names
Rfam family: tRNA
About the family: Transfer RNA (tRNA) molecules are approximately 80 nucleotides in length. Their secondary structure includes four short double-helical elements and three loops (D, anti-codon, and T loops).
Source: Rfam by way of RNAcentral